UGUCAUGUCCUAAGUCAUAGAAUUUUUAUUAGGACGUGAAAAAUGUAAUUUUGUUUUUAUUGGAUCGAUCAUGCAGAAGGUUGUUGUUUGGUGAUUGCAAUAACCUUCUUAUUUUUGUUUUUGGAUAAGCAUUGUAAAUUCUUUUUGUAUUUUGUCAUGAAAUCGCCAAAGGGGGAGAUUGUUAAGGAUUUUAUAAGUUGGCGAAUUUCGUGAAGUAUUGAAUGGAGUCUCGAAGAAUUAGAAGAUGAAGAUUGACGAAAAGAAUUGAAGUUUUUGUGAUCAAAGACCCUUGAGAUCUCAGGUAUGAUUAUAAAUAAUUUGUGGUGAAGUUUUCAUUGUUAAAAGAUGUUUAGAAGACUUGGUUUCUUUUUGAUUUAUUCAAACUUAAGUUUUCUGAAAA
This 400-nucleotide long non-coding RNA is filed under the name Ananas comosus (pineapple). Its description in RNAcentral is "long non-coding RNA (ACOM_LNC036704)". The record is from RNAcentral. Lineage: Eukaryota; Viridiplantae; Streptophyta; Magnoliopsida; Poales; Bromeliaceae.